CCCCCUCCCCCUAUGGCAGCCAUCAUCCAUUGCUUCCUCCCCCAAGAUCUCCCCCUACGCAGCAAGGAUCGAGAAAAGGAGGGGCACGUUGAAUUGAAGAGGAAGAGAGGAUCAAGGAGAUGUUCUUCCCCAUCUCUUCUUGAAGAUUUCUUGGGGAAACCCUAGGUAUGGAUGAGAUCCUUGUUCCUCCCUGUAAUUAUAGGCUUUUGGAGGUUGUGGAUCAUGGGAAUUAAAGGAUUAGAGGUUGGAUUUGAUGUGGGGUUAGGUUUUGAUCCCGAAUUUAGUUUUCUGCAGAAUGGCAGAUUCAACAGUUUCUGUUCAUGCCAGUUUUCCGUGGUCUUAGUGGCCUCAAAAAAAUGAAAAGUCUAUGUAUGAGUCGUAGAUGAUUUGUAGAUCUUUCCGUGGCCGUGAAGAACACCUCAAUCGGACAUCCGACCAGAAAGUUAUUGCAGUUUUACUAUAGCAGUUUUUCAGUCUCAUAAUUCUGUGCAGAAUCUGUUCUCUUAAGAUUUAGGAAAUUUUAUCAACAGAAUUAAACUGUGGGUUGGUAAAAGAAGUUGUAGAUAAUUUCAUAAGCUUUCCAGAUUGUUAAAGAGUGCAUUCAUAUGAUUUGUGAAACUCCAGUUAUGUUUGUUUUACUGUGGCUGUUUCUGUUUACCUGACAAAAAUGAGUGGGUCUGUUCACUGGUGGGUUUCAUCUAGUAAAUGGCCGAAUUGGCUCUUCCAACUAUGGAGACUUUUGUAGAGGGAUAAAAGUUCUUACUUCCAGCAGAAUUUCAUAAUUUUUGGUUCAGUAGUUUGGGAGAUAUCAAAUUUUAAAGUUAACCAUACUGCUGUCUAAAACAGAUUCAGUCAGUUAUCUUGUCAGAUGUUUUAGAACUUGUAGAUGGCAGAAUUUAAUUAUCUAUUGAAUACUGAAGUUGUAGAGUAUUUUAUGUAGAUACUCCUAGAGUAUUUGUUUGAUAUCACCGCUGUUUUAAUUUUAAAGAUACAAAAUUAACAAACAGCGUUGCUGCUGUAUGGCAUGUGGUUCAGGGUGGGAGUCUUUCCACUGGGUCUUGGUUUCAAGUGUAGGAGUGUUUUGUUGAUUGAUGGCAAAUGUUUGUGAAAUAUUUGUACUAAGUUUUAUGCCCACUAGCAGGUGGCUACACUCCAGAUCAUGUCUAGUACAUUUCUUCUUCUUCGAUGAAGGCAAGUGAAUGUAGCGGUGGUUGCUUCCGUUCUGACCUGUUAUUUCUAUUGCCUACACUCUAAUAUUCAGAAGUAUCAGAUUCUUUCAUAAUUGGACUCUAUGGUGAUGCUUUACUUGCUUGCAUUAUACUGAUGCUCAAUCAUAUAUUGAUGAUGAUUAUGAUUUGAGUAUGACUCACGAGAUUAAUUCACAUAUCUGAAGGUAAAUGAAGUAUUAUUUGAGGUUGGUAUUGUAUCUGAAGAUAAAUGAAGUAUUAUUUGAGGUUUGUAUUGUAUCUGAAGGAAGUGAAGUUUAUUGAUAAAUGUAGCAUGCCAUAUACAUUGCAUGACUCAUUUGCAUAUGAAGUUUUGUCGUGACCUAUGGUCCGACCGUACCGGUACAACUUAGCAUCGUACGUUGCCCGAGAAGGGGUACGAUGCGGCUUCAUACCCUUAGAGGUAUGAAGGCAGAGGACAUAUGCAUUGCAUUCAUAUGCAUUCAUUGAAGUGAUAUUUGCAGAUGAUGUGGUUUUAUACCCCCAGAGGUAUGAAGAUAGAGUACCUACGCAUUGCAUUCAUAUGCAUUCAUUGAAGUGAUAUUUGCAGAUGAUGUGGUUUUAUACCCCCAGAGGUAUGAAGAUAGAGUACCUACACAUUGCAUUCCUAUGCAUACAUUGAAGUGAUAUUUGCAGGUAUUGUUGACGCAGGGAAGUGUUAUAGAACCUAUUGUGGUUGUUCGAGGAAAUGAGAUGGUAUUGGUUAUAGUGGGACUACUGUGUUCUAUAUCUACAAGUAUUUCUGAUUUUUUAUUGUGUCUCUUUUAAAAUGUUGAUGAAUUCAAUUUGUGGUUUAAAUAUCUCAUCAGAACAAUUAGCUUGCUGAGAUGUUUCAUCUCACUCUUGCAUUACUCAAUGCAGGUGGUUGUUGCUCAUCAAGGGGAGUGGGAAGUAGCAGCACAUCCACCUUCACUCUCAUAAUAAUGCUGCCCAGACACAGCCAUGAUUUAAUUAGAAACUUCUUGUCAAAGGAUGUUUGUUUUUAACUAGUCGUGCGCACUGAUUAAUUCAGUUCAUUGUUGUUAUGGUUGUCUUCCCAUUGCUAGUAGAUUAUUAAUGUCUUAUAUGUUUUCUUAUCAUGAUAUCUAUUUAUACUUUGUUGCUUCCCCCGUUUAUGCAAUUUUCAAAGGAGAUGCUGUCGAAAUUUUAUAUAUGAAUGUUAGAUGUGUAGUUUAGUAGCAUUCUGGGGUGUUUGUGGAUCCCGGGGUGUUACAGUUGGUAUCAGAGCAUAGGCUUCAGAUUCUUGGCAAUUUGAAGAUAAAUUUGACACACUUGCACAUAUAGGAAGGGUAUGGGUUCAAAUAUCUUUGAUAUAUAUUAAUGUCUUUGGAGUGCAGAUGACAAUAGUUUCACCCCUCCCUAUUCCUUUACGGUGAUGUGGUAAGUUGUUUAUGGCUUAAUGCUUGAUAUAAUUUAUUUCUGAAAUUUUGAUAUUGUUUUAUUAAUGCGGUAGAUAUCGCUGGUCAUUGGUGAGAAUGAAGUUGUUAUUAUGCUUGUGAUAUACAAGUAUGCCUAUGUCGUUUUCACCAUGUUUUUCAUGGUUGAGUUUUAUUACAAUAAUAUUGUUAUAUAUGCUUGAUUGUGGAUGUUUCUAAGAGGAGUGUGAAUUGCGUGUUUUGGGGUACAAGGUAAUCAUCAAUUUGAAUUUAAGUUGUUGAGCGGUUGGUGGAUAGCUCCAACUAUCAUUGCAAAGAAUGAUUGUUUAUGUUGAGAAACCAGUUUUGAAAGAAAUGAAUAUUGGUACUUUAUAUGGAUUUUUGGGGGAAGUCUUUUCAUAGCCAGAAUGGCUUACAUGUCUCUCUCAUAUUGUGUGUUCUAGUUGCCACAAAGCCUAGAUGUGGUUUAAAGUGGUUGCCUAUUAGUCAUACUAAUUGUAGAAUAAAUCUUUGAUUCUCUUGAUCCAUUGAUUAUGUAUUGAUACAUUGAGGAUCUGAUGGUUCCCUUUUCGAUGCAUGCUUGUGGAGCCAUUUUUUAGACCACCUAUCUAUUGGUUUGAAGGAAGUCCUUGCCUAGCCUAGAGUUGGUUGGGUAUGGCUAGUCACCUACUCCUAGAUGAUGUGGUGUUUACAUCAGCUUAAUAUGUUUGUCAAAUGUGUGAAGGAUUAGGGGUUAUUAUUAUUGACUUUGUAUGUCUGGUACUUUGAGUGCAUCGUAUGAUAGAAUGAAAUGUAAGUUUCUGAACUACAGUAGAUGAAGACUUAUAUUAUGUGUAGGUUAUCCUUACUAGUUGGAUAUUUUUCUUAGUUGAGAUGUUGAAUGAAGUAUAGUGACAUGGGUUAAGCAAGUAUUGUGUUGUUGUUGGGCUAUCAGUGCUCUAUGUAGAGUUUUUGGCAUUUCUUCGAUGAACUAUGCCGCACAAGAUGUUAUUGGCUUCUUUUGGCUUUAUUGCUCCAUUAGUUCUAUAGAUUUUCUCCCUUUUGGUGGGGUGUAAGGAAUGUUAGAUUACAUGAUUAUCUUUUCAUGAUGGCAAGAAUAAGGUUUAGAAAGAUUAGGAGUUUUGUUCCAAUAGAACUACUUGUUUCAUGGUGCUUUAAGGUGAGGUGUUUGAUCUUCUUAUACAUUCGUCGGGUGUAGAUGUUUCACCAUUUAAUUAAAAUUAAUGGUUGAAGUUGGUAAGGGUUGUGCUUGGUCCAUAUUACCCCUUCAUAAAAGAGUGUUGUCUUAAGACAUUGAUGUUGAUGUAUAGCUGCAUCCAAAUUUGAUGUUGUGAAAUUGUAGUGUUGAUUGCAACUAUGACAUGCUUUGAGCUUCAUUACAUGUUGUUUCAUGCUUGAUGUCAGGUCGUGUAGUUUCCUUAGACAAUUAGUCCAAGGUAGAAGUUCUUGUGUUAAUUAAGACCAAUAAUGGAUCCAUGUUUUGAAUUGUGGUGCUAUAUGGGGUACCUUGGGUGUUUUGCUUGGAGUGGCCGAAUUCGAGGUCGAAUUCUUUUUAAGGGGGGUAGAGUGUAAUAUCCCAAAAAAAUGUUGACCAAAAGUUAAUCUCUGGUGCGUGGAUGAGGUAAAGGGUUGUGGGCCAUUGGAUGCAAAGAUAGAAGUCAUCUGAGGCGUCGUUUCUUUCUCCCACAAAAACCCUAGGUGGCCACCCCUUUUUUUUCCCUUCACCCCCCUCUUGGCCGCCACCCCCUUUUCUCCCCCUUGGCUGGACGCCCCCUCCCCCUAUGGCAGCCAUCAUCCAUUGCUUCCUCCCCCAAGAUCUCCCCCUACGCAGCAAGGAUCGAGAAAAGGAGGGGCAAGUUGAAUUGAAGAGGAAGAGAGGAUCAAGGAGAUGUUCUUCCCCAUCUCUUCUUGAAGAUUUCUUGGGGAAACCCUAGGUAUGGAUGAGAUCCUUGUUCCUCCCUGUAAUUAUAGGCUUUUGGAGGUUGUGGAUCAUGGGAAUUAAAGGAUUAGAGGUUGGAUUUGAUGUGGGGUUAGGUUUUGAUCCCGAAUUUAGUUUUCUGCAGAAUGGCAGAUUCAACAGUUUCUGUUCAUGCCAGUUUUCCGUGGUCUUAGUGGCCUCAAAAAAAUGAAAAGUCUAUGUAUGAGUCGUAGAUGAUUUGUAGAUCUUUCCGUGGCCGUGAAGAACACCUCAAUCGGACAUCCGACCAGAAAGUUAUUGCAGUUUUACUAUAGCAGUUUUUCAGUCUCAUAAUUCUGUGCAGAAUCUGUUCUCUUAAGAUUUAGGAAAUUUUAUCAACAGAAUUAAACUGUGGGUUGGUAAAAGAAGUUGUAGAUAAUUUCAUAAGCUUUCCAGAUUGUUAAAGAGUGCAUUCAUAUGAUUUGUGAAACUCCAGUUAUGUUUGUUUUACUGUGGCUGUUUCUGUUUACCUGACAAAAAUGAGUGGGUCUGUUCACUGGUGGGUUUCAUCUAGUAAAUGGCCGAAUUGGCUCUUCCAACUAUGGAGACUUUUGUAGAGGGAUAAAAGUUCUUACUUCCAGCAGAAUUUCAUAAUUUUUGGUUCAGUAGUUUGGGAGAUAUCAAAUUUUAAAGUUAACCAUACUGCUGUCUAAAACAGAUUCAGUCAGUUAUCUUGUCAGAUGUUUUAGAACUUGUAGAUGGCAGAAUUUAAUUAUCUAUUGAAUACUGAAGUUGUAGAGUAUUUUAUGUAGAUACUCCUAGAGUAUUUGUUUGAUAUCACCGCUGUUUUAAUUUUAAAGAUACAAAAUUAACAAACAGCGUUGCUGCUGUAUGGCAUGUGGUUCAGGGUGGGAGUCUUUCCACUGGGUCUUGGUUUCAAGUGUAGGAGUGUUUUGUUGAUUGAUGGCAAAUGUUUGUGAAAUAUUUGUACUAAGUUUUAUGCCCACUAGCAGGUGGCUACACUCCAGAUCAUGUCUAGUACAUUUCUUCUUCUUCGAUGAAGGCAAGUGAAUGUAGCGGUGGUUGCUUCCGUUCUGACCUGUUAUUUCUAUUGCCUACACUCUAAUAUUCAGAAGUAUCAGAUUCUUUCAUAAUUGGACUCUAUGGUGAUGCUUUACUUGCUUGCAUUAUACUGAUGCUCAAUCAUAUAUUGAUGAUGAUUAUGAUUUGAGUAUGACUCACGAGAUUAAUUCACAUAUCUGAAGGUAAAUGAAGUAUUAUUUGAGGUUGGUAUUGUAUCUGAAGAUAAAUGAAGUAUUAUUUGAGGUUUGUAUUGUAUCUGAAGGAAGUGAAGUUUAUUGAUAAAUGUAGCAUGCCAUAUACAUUGCAUGACUCAUUUGCAUAUGAAGUUUUGUCGUGACCUAUGGUCCGACCGUACCGGUACAACUUAGCAUCGUACGUUGCCCGAGAAGGGGUACGAUGCGGCUUCAUACCCUUAGAGGUAUGAAGGCAGAGGACAUAUGCAUUGCAUUCAUAUGCAUUCAUUGAAGUGAUAUUUGCAGAUGAUGUGGUUUUAUACCCCCAGAGGUAUGAAGAUAGAGUACCUACGCAUUGCAUUCAUAUGCAUUCAUUGAAGUGAUAUUUGCAGAUGAUGUGGUUUUAUACCCCCAGAGGUAUGAAGAUAGAGUACCUACACAUUGCAUUCCUAUGCAUACAUUGAAGUGAUAUUUGCAGGUAUUGUUGACGCAGGGAAGUGUUAUAGAACCUAUUGUGGUUGUUCGAGGAAAUGAGAUGGUAUUGGUUAUAGUGGGACUACUGUGUUCUAUAUCUACAAGUAUUUCUGAUUUUUUAUUGUGUCUCUUUUAAAAUGUUGAUGAAUUCAAUUUGUGGUUUAAAUAUCUCAUCAGAACAAUUAGCUUGCUGAGAUGUUUCAUCUCACUCUUGCAUUACUCAAUGCAGGUGGUUGUUGCUCAUCAAGGGGAGUGGGAAGUAGCAGCACAUCCACCUUCACUCUCAUAAUAAUGCUGCCCAGACACAGCCAUGAUUUAAUUAGAAACUUCUUGUCAAAGGAUGUUUGUUUUUAACUAGUCGUGCGCACUGAUUAAUUCAGUUCAUUGUUGUUAUGGUUGUCUUCCCAUUGCUAGUAGAUUAUUAAUGUCUUAUAUGUUUUCUUAUCAUGAUAUCUAUUUAUACUUUGUUGCUUCCCCCGUUUAUGCAAUUUUCAAAGGAGAUGCUGUCGAAAUUUUAUAUAUGAAUGUUAGAUGUGUAGUUUAGUAGCAUUCUGGGGUGUUUGUGGAUCCCGGGGUGUUACAUUAAGACAUGAGUGUCGGAGUUCAUAUAUUAGUGGUCGCGCCACGUUGAUUGAAGUGUCUCGAGUACACGCCACCAUAUGACUAUAUGUGAGACACGGUAAAAUAAAGUGUGCUCGACAUGAAUGUUUGGUCGUUGUAGGUAGAAAUUAUUUUAGCUUAUAUAGAGAGGUUGUGACAUGCCAAGGUAGUCGUCGCUUUCUCUAUAUUUAUAAGGCGAGUCGUGACGAUGCGUAUUGUGCGUUUAAUAAAUUAGGCUUCGCAUAUAGUGUAUGAUUGUGUUCACGAUUUCGAGUAGACGCUUCAAGUAAGUCAAGUAGAUAUAAGUGUGUAAUGGAGUUAGUUGUCUUAGGAUAAGUAUUGAAAUACUCGGUUCGUAUAAUAAAUAUGUAUGCGUUCGUAAUUCGGGAAGUAAAUGCAUGGUGAUUUCGAUUUGGAGAUUAGUGAUUUACGAUUCGUAUGCUUUGGUCGGUGUGCGAAAAUACUUGUGAAUAUGUAUGGUUAUAAAAAUGUUGUGGUGUAUGUUGUGCCUUAGAUAGUGAUAAUAAUAGGCAAGCCGACGUGUAUGUUAUUUAGCGGGCUAUGCCGUUGCUCUAGUUAGCCGAAGUGUUAGAUGGGUUGGUUAAGCUCGUAAUCACGAUGAUUUGCUUGUUGUAGUCUAAAUGUGUAUGGUUACGGUCGCAGGUAAAAAUUAGUAGUUUUCAUGUGAUGCCCAAGUUAAAAUGCAAAUUACUAUGUGAAGAGCGCAUCGAUAUAUAUGUAUGUCGGAUUUGAUGAUUAUGGUGAUUGCGUUGAUUAAUUGUGUAUGGUAGUUCUAGAGCGCGAAAUAACUUGUAUAAAAAUUAGUAAGUCUACUUGUUAGUUCUCACUUGGUCAUUUUAACUCUAACAAUUGUCAAAGUGUUAGAAUAAUUCAAGUAUCUAGAACGCGGCAAUUCUUGAAUUGUAUAGGAGC
RNAcentral lists this long non-coding RNA (7762 nucleotides) under Zea mays. RNAcentral describes it as "long non-coding RNA (ZMAY_LNC000327)". Lineage: Eukaryota; Viridiplantae; Streptophyta; Magnoliopsida; Poales; Poaceae. The record is from RNAcentral.